AUCUUUUGGAUCCUGAAUUUGUUUGAGUGCUGGAUGGAAAAUGACAAAAUCUCUAGCACCAUUUAAAUUCAGUAUUCCAACUA
This is a non-coding RNA of Onchocerca flexuosa, 83 nucleotides long. The record is from Rfam. NCBI's taxonomy places the organism in Eukaryota, Metazoa, Nematoda, Chromadorea, Rhabditida, Onchocercidae.